AGAUGAAAUGGCUUUUACUGGGACUAAAAACCUACAGCCCUAAUGGAAGCUCUUACAGUUGGUGCCAGUUUUAUAUCUUGCAGGGGCUGUUGUCACUAUAUUAAUAUCCUGGAGGUCAAGUUAAUUAUUUUUUUUUUAAUAUUUUGCAGGCUCUGUGCAAUUUGAUACAGUGUCACACUUGGUGCGUGCCAGUUUUGUGCCUGAAGUAUAAGAGCCGGGGAACCGUACCAGCUCAGACCUCCAAGGAAGAAGCUUUUGCAGGAAUCCAUGACCACACAGAAAGAAAAUGGACACAGCAACCUUGUCUCCCAAAGGUAUGUGAGAUUUCUCACCUUCUGAAAAUCCUGCUUGAACUUCUGCUUCAUUCCACUGGUUUCCCAAGUUGGUGCUGUACUUUCCUGAUUUGCUGCAGAAGGAUUGCCAUCUCAGCUCAUCUGCACUGUUUAAACGUGGUUACUGGUUUCAGAAAUUGAGAUUACAAUUCCUGGUCUUAUUUAAGAUUGAGGAAGAAAUGUGAAAUUCUGAAAUCUUUUCAUGGCUGAAAAACAGCUUUCCAGCAAGAUCUCCACAAAUGAGAUUGCAGAAAUUCUUCUUUCUCCUUCCUCCCUGGCUCUGUUAUCAUGCAAUUCUCUUCAUGCUGUUCUCCGAGACCAAAUCUGAGCCAGCCUGAGAUUUGUGCUAACGGUGAGUGCCUGCCUUUUUUUUUCUUUAAAUAAAACAAUUUCCUAAGGCA
RNAcentral lists this long non-coding RNA (733 nucleotides) under Numida meleagris (helmeted guineafowl). RNAcentral describes it as "lncRNA (ENSNMEG00000019322.1)". Lineage: Eukaryota; Metazoa; Chordata; Aves; Galliformes; Numididae. The record is from RNAcentral.